CCUACGGGAGGCUGCAGUCGAGAAUCAUUCACAAUGGGGGAAACCCUGAUGGUGCGACGCCGCGUGGGGGAAUGAAGGUCUUCGGAUUGUAAACCCCUGUCAUGUGGGAGCAAAUUAAAAAGAUAGUACCACAAGAGGAAGAGACGGCUAACUCUGUGCCAGCAGCCGCGGUAAUACAGAGGUCUCAAGCGUUGUUCGGAAUCACUGGGCGUAAGGCGUGCGUAGGCUGUUUCGUAAGUCGUGUGUGAAAGGCGCGGGCUCAACCCGCGGACGGCACAUGAUACUGCGAGACUAGAGUAAUGGAAGGGGAACCGGAAUUCUCGGUGUAGCAGUGAAAUGCGUAGAUAUCGAGAGGAACACUCGUGGCGAAGGCGGGUUCCUGGACAGUAACUGACGCUGAGGCACGAAGGCCAGGGGAGCGAAAGGGAUUAGAUACCCCUGUAGUC
RNAcentral lists this ribosomal RNA (446 nucleotides) under uncultured bacterium. RNAcentral describes it as "partial 16S ribosomal RNA". It matches the Rfam family "Bacterial small subunit ribosomal RNA", at positions 338 to 795 of the family's 1533-position model. The record is from RNAcentral.